Molecule: unclassified non-coding RNA, 354 nt
Filed under: soil metagenome
Description: partial contains 5.8S ribosomal RNA, internal transcribed spacer 2, and large subunit ribosomal RNA
Rfam family: 5.8S ribosomal RNA (bases 1-120)
Source: RNAcentral
GAUGAAGAACGUAGCGAAAUGCGAUAAGUAAUGUGAAUUGCAGAAUUCAGUGAAUCAUCGAAUCUUUGAACGCACAUUGCGCCCAUUAGCAUUCUAGUGGGCAUGCCUGUUCGAGCGUCAUUAAGUCCACUUAAGCCCUGCUUAGUGUUGGGAGACUGCUCCAGCGGUGCUACCCUGUAGCUACCCUGCAGCUCCUCAAAGACAGCGGCGGAGUUGUGGUAUCCUCUGAGCUUAGUAACUUGUUCUAGCUUUCGAGUACACCACUUCCCCUGCCGUAAAACCCUUAAUUUUUAAUGGUUGACCUCGGAUCAGGUAGGAAUACCCGCUGAACUUAAGCAUAUCAAUAACGGAGGA